Molecule: ribosomal RNA, 1243 nt
Filed under: 'Sabina chinensis' yellows phytoplasma
Lineage: Bacteria; Bacillati; Mycoplasmatota; Mollicutes; Acholeplasmatales; Acholeplasmataceae
Description: bacterial SSU rRNA
Rfam family: Bacterial small subunit ribosomal RNA
Source: RNAcentral
ACGACUGCUAAGACUGGAUAGGAGACAAGAAGGCAUCUUCUUGUUUUUAAAAGACCUAGCAAUAGGUAUGCUUAGGUAGGAGCUUGCGUCACAUUAGUUAGUUGGUGGGGUAAAGGCCUACCAAGACUAUGAUGUGUAGCCGGGCUGAGAGGUUGAACGGCCACAUUGGGACUGAGACACGGCCCAAACUCCUACGGGAGGCAGCAGUAGGGAAUUUUCGGCAAUGGAGGAAACUCUGACCGAGCAACGCCGCGUGAACGAUGAAGUAUUUCGGUACGUAAAGUUCUUUUAUUAGGGAAGAAUAAAUGAUGGAAAAAUCAUUCUGACGGUACCUAAUGAAUAAGCCCCGGCUAACUAUGUGCCAGCAGCCGCGGUAAUACAUAGGGGGCAAGCGUUAUCCGGAAUUAUUGGGCGUAAAGGGUGCGUAGGCGGUUAAAUAAGUUUGUGGUCUAAGUGCAAUGCUCAACAUUGUGAUGCUAUAAAAACUGUUUAGCUAGAGUAAGAUAGAGGCAAGUGGAACUCCAUGUGUAGUGGUAAAAUGCGUAAAUAUAUGGAGGAACACCAGUAGCGAAGGCGGCUUGCUGGGUCUUUACUGACGUUGAGGCACGAAAGCGUGGGGAGCAAACAGGAUUAGAUACCCUGGUAGUCCACGCCGUAAACGAUGAGUACUAAACGUUGGGUAAAACCAGUGUUGAAGUUAACACAUUAAGUACUCCGCCUGAGUAGUACGUACGCAAGUAUGAAACUUAAAGGAAUUGACGGGACUCCGCACAAGCGGUGGAUCAUGUUGUUUAAUUCGAAGGUACCCGAAAAACCUCACCAGGUCUUGACAUGCUUCUGCAAAGCUGUAGAAACACAGUGGAGGUUAUCAGUUGCACAGGUGGUGCAUGGUUGUCGUCAGCUCGUGUCGUGAGAUGUUGGGUUAAGUCCCGCAACGAGCGCAACCCUUAUUGUUAGUUACCAGCACGUAAUGGUGGGGACUUUAGCAAGACUGCCAGUGAUAAAUUGGAGGAAGGUGGGGACGACGUCAAAUCAUCAUGCCCCUUAUGACCUGGGCUACAAACGUGAUACAAUGGCUGUUACAAAGGGUAGCUGAAGCGCAAGUUUUUGGCGAAUCUCAAAAAAACAGUCUCAGUUCGGAUUGAAGUCUGCAACUCGACUUCAUGAAGUUGGAAUCGCUAGUAAUCGCGAAUCAGCAUGUCGCGGUGAAUACGUUCUCGGGGUUUGUACACACCGCCCGUCA